AUGCUUGCUUCAGCAGCACAUGUACUAAAAUUUGAAUAAUGCAGAGAAAGUUAGCAUGGCCUAUGCACAAGGGUGAUGUGCAAAUUUGUGAAGCAUUUCAUUAAAAA
This 107-nucleotide small nuclear RNA is filed under the name Chinchilla lanigera (long-tailed chinchilla). The record is from RNAcentral. Lineage: Eukaryota; Metazoa; Chordata; Mammalia; Rodentia; Chinchillidae.